CCUAGCACUCCCUGGUAGAAAGGCUCAUAAACGGUGAAGAGGAAAACAAGGAAGAAUACAAUGAGAUAUUCAGAUCUGGGUUUGUGAAAUGCCUGGGAGUUGUAUGCUGAGGUAGCAAGCAAGGGUUCCCUGCAAACUCAGCUGCCAUUGGGUGAAGAUAGCCAUUGAUAAAAACACUGCCUCCAAAUUCUGGUUAUAUGUAGCUGAGGAUCUUCGUCGUGAAAGAGGAAAGUGCCUUGUCUCCUGCUUGAGACAGAGUUCCUCUCCAUCAUCAGUCUUCGUUUAUAUCCUUUUGCUGCUUUGGGGAAUGGUGUACUUUUCCCUGUUUCAGCUAACUUUUACCACAAAACUAUACAGAAACCUCGUAAAUUCUUGCUGCUUUCUUUUCUUGACUAUUUUUGAGUCCAAGAAAUAAGAACUGUCCUCUCGUUCUCUCAGGCCCUGCUGUGUGAGCUGCCAUGUGCAGCUGCAGCAGCAGUGUCACAGAGCCCCAGGGAUGCACCGCCUCCGUGGUCACCCCACCGCGGACUGAGGGUCUUGCUUUCUGCUGGGAAAGAUGGAGGUUACAGACUCAGCAGAUGUUGGCCAGCCUAGUUAAAAUACUUAAGUAGCCUUACAGUCUGUGUCUUUGCUCCUCAGCCUUUUGAGUCCUCAGACUACCGUCGAGAACAACUAUCUCU
Molecule: long non-coding RNA, 680 nt
Filed under: Bos taurus (domestic cattle)
Lineage: Eukaryota; Metazoa; Chordata; Mammalia; Artiodactyla; Bovidae
Description: long non-coding RNA NONBTAT002990
Source: RNAcentral